UACGGAGGGUGCGAGCGUUAUCCGGAAUUACUGGGUUUAAAGGGUGCGUAGGCGGCCCUGUAAGUCAGUGGUGAAAUAUCUCAGCUUAACUGAGAGGGUGCCAUUGAUACUGCAGGGCUUGAGUACAGAUGAGGUAGGCGGAAUUGACGGUGUAGCGGUGAAAUGCAUAGAUAUCGUCAAGAACACCGAUAGCGAAGGCAGCUUACCAAGCUGUAACUGACACUGAGGCACGAAAGUGUGGGGAUCAAACAGG
This 253-nucleotide ribosomal RNA is filed under the name uncultured bacterium. RNAcentral describes it as "partial 16S ribosomal RNA". It matches the Rfam family "Bacterial small subunit ribosomal RNA", at positions 524 to 776 of the family's 1533-position model. The record is from RNAcentral.